AAAAAGCAAAACCUGAAUUUUCGUGUCCAGCUUUGACUGUCCGUCUUAUAUAAAAUUUUUUUAUAAUUCGUAUUUUCAUUGUUGUUAGAUGAUAAAACAUGAUUAAUAUUUUGUGCGUGACUUGUCUUUUUAUUUUUUUCAAAUUUUUUUCAAAUAAGACGAACGGUCAAACAUUGGGCACGGAAACCAGGGUUUGUCUUUUU
This is a non-coding RNA of Oryza glumipatula, 203 nucleotides long. The record is from Rfam. NCBI's taxonomy places the organism in Eukaryota, Viridiplantae, Streptophyta, Magnoliopsida, Poales, Poaceae.